UUAGAGGAAGUAAAAGUCGUAACAAGGUUUCGGUAGGUGAACCUGCGGAAGGAUCAUUAUCGUACAACCGAGGCACAAGGGCUGUCGCUGACUUUUUGUCGUGCACGCCCAAAGUGCUCUCAACCAUCCAUCUCACCCUAUGUGCACCACCGCGUGGGUUCCCUUUUGGUUUAUCCCGAGGGGGGCUCGCGUUUUCACACAAACUCGAUACAGUGUAGAAUGUCUCUUUGCGAUAACACGCAAUUAAUACAACUUUCAACAACGGAUCUCUUGGCUCUCGCAUCGAUGAAGAACGCAGCGAAAUGCGAUACGUAAUGUGAAUUGCAGAAUUCAGUGAAUCAUCGAAUCUUUGAACGCACCUUGCGCCCCUUGGCAUUCCGAGGGGCACACCCGUUUGAGUGUCGUGAAAUUCUCAAAAACCUUUCUUUUAUGAAAGGGUUUUGGACUUGGAGGCUUUUUGCUGGCUUCACCUCGAAGCGAGCUCCUCCUAAAUGAAUUAGUGGGGUCUGCUUUGCCGAUCCUUGACGUGAUAAGAUGUUACUACGUCUCGGGUUUGGCGAUGGCACCCGCUUCUAAUCGUCUCAUUGACAAUGAUGGCGUUCCGGUCACCACCGUUUCAUCGGUCGGGAGGCUUGACCCACCAAAAAAACCUUGACCUCAAAUCGGGUGAGACUACCCGCUGAACUUAAGCAUAUCAAUAAGCGGAGGAAAAGAAACUAACAAGGAUUCCCCUAGUAACUGCGAGUGAAGCGGGAAAAGCUCAAAUUUAAAAUCUGGUGGCCUUUGGUCAUCCGAGUUGUAAUUUAGAGAAGCGUCUUCCGCGCUGGACCGUGUACAA
Molecule: ribosomal RNA, 838 nt
Filed under: Russula sp. 423 VM-2015
Lineage: Eukaryota; Fungi; Basidiomycota; Agaricomycetes; Russulales; Russulaceae
Description: eukaryotic LSU rRNA
Rfam family: 5.8S ribosomal RNA (bases 251-404)
Source: RNAcentral